Molecule: long non-coding RNA, 4277 nt
Organism: Hydractinia symbiolongicarpus
Lineage: Eukaryota; Metazoa; Cnidaria; Hydrozoa; Anthoathecata; Hydractiniidae
Exons: 4
Source: RefSeq, a predicted model, not a curated record
GUAUGAAGUAUGAAGUAUGAAGUAUGAAGUAUGAAGUAUGAAGUAUGAAGUAUGAAGUAUGAAGUAUGAAGUAUGAAGUAUGAAGUAUGAAGUAUGAAUUCAAUCUUCUUUCGUCUUCUUUAAUUUUAAAACUUUAUGGGAAUAUUUCAGUUAAAAGUUUCACUGCUUGUUGUCUCCCUUUUUAUUUCCUUUUUGUAAUUUUCAAUUAGAAAAUCUUCAUUCCCCUUUUUUAUUGUCCUAUUCAGAGCAACUUUCCUACCUUUUCGAUAUUGUGCCAGUUAUCAGAAUGAGUACCUAGUUAGCUUUCAGUGCACCAUUACCUAUUUUUUAUCGCCAAUUUCAAUGUGUGAUUUUAACUUUGUAUUCCAAAUGCAAAGUCUACUUCAAUUGUUUUUCAUGGUCUAGAAUGUUUUUCAAAGUGAGGUGUCAUCUACGUUCACAGUUGAUAAAUUCAUAAACCAAAGAUUCAUUCUAAUUGCUCAUAAAUUAUAAUAUUAUAUGUAUAUUUAUAUAAUUUAAAAAUAGUUUUAAAGAAAAUAAUAUAAAAAACGCAAUUCUUACCACUACACUGCUGCAACAUACUUCGGAUGUCUGGCUUGUAAAGAUUUCUCGGUUUUCUCAAAUCCUAUAAAAAUCUCUCACAUACUCUGGAACUCUCUCAUAUCAUCUGAAACUCUCUUGCAUCCUUACCCGUUCUCGGAUUAUGAGGGGUAAGUUGUGUUCGUGCAUAAUAAAAAUAUAUUUUGAACAAUUUAGGAAAGGCUUAUGUCAACAAGAAACGCUUUUGCCAACAAGUUGUUCAUUUUUACAAAUGUUAACCCUAUUCAUCCCGAGACGUAAAGAGAGAGGCGAUUGCAGUGGUGAAGGUGGGGAGGAAAGAGUUAUGCUGUACUGCCGUAACUUAUCAUUUGUUGUGAUCCGUUGCGACAGCCAUUCCUCCCACAAUAACAACAACAUCUUUCAGCUUAUAUGUUCUGCAUUGAGGUAUGUUUAUAUUCUUUUAAAUUAGCAAGGCUUAUGAAAAGCACCACCUUUUCUUUCGUUAACAUUAAAAAGAGUGAAUUACACCCAACUAAUACUUUUUCUCUCUACGUAAGUGGAUUUCUCUACCUUCUAUUUUUUAUUAUGGUUUAAAGUGGAUUCCAUGCCCUCUGGUUAUUAUAAAUAAAUUUAUUUCGUCAGGUUGUUAUUAACGUGAGUGAAUUUCUUCUCCUCUUUUGCUGUUGUUUUUAAAAAGUGAUUCCAAUCCACUUUUUAUUGUUGUUGUUCUUUUUAAUGCAGGUAGAUUUCUAUCCCGGUUGUUUUUAUUAUUGUGCAGAGUAAAUUACAUCUCCUCCGAGUGAAUUUAAUCUCCUCUGGGUGAAUUUCAUUUCCUCUGCUUUUUUAAAAAUAAAUUUAUCUCCUUGCUUGCUGUGGUUUUUUAAAUUAAUAGGUUUUUAUCCCUUCUAUGUCUUUUUUGAUUGUCCAGAGUGAAUUCCAUCUCCUCUGCUGUUUUUUAUAACUGCACUUAUCUCCUCGGUCGUUUUUAUCACGAGUGAUUUCCAUCUCCUCUGCUUUUUAUAAAUGCAUUUAUCUCUUCAGCUUUUUUAGCGCAAAUGAAUUUCAUCGCCUCGUUUGCUUACCAGUUAAUUCUGCUGUCAAAAAAGCGUAUUUUGUUGUGUUUUAUCACCAAAAACUCAAGUUAUAUACGACAAAUAUUAUAUAUUUAAAAUAUUUUUGUCUUAUGUUAUAUGUUGAAAUAGGAUUUAGUUAGAGUAGAGCGAUGUGUGGUGAGAUUGGAGUAGAGUGACGUCCGGUGUGAUAGGUUUGGAGCUGGGUAGGGUAGGGUAGAGUAGGAAGAAGGUUAGGGGUAUAUGUGGGGUAGGAUUUGAGGUAAAUGUGGAGAUACGGGAAGUGAAGAAAUUAUAACGUCACAAAAUUUCUUUGUACGUAACAAUCAUAAAAAAUUUCCUUUAUUAUUUAAAAAAAAUAAAAAUAGAAGCUCAAAAUAUUAUAACAUGAAUUUCAAAUAUUAUCGUCAUUAUAUAUUGGAAUGGGAUUUAGUAGAGCAGAGUAACAUGUGGUGAGAUAGGGGUAGAGUGGCGUGCGGUGAAAUAUGUUUAGAGGUCGAAAGGGUAGGGUAGAGAUGUAGGAUAAGGUAGGGGUGUAGGUGGGAUAGGGGUAUAGCUGGGAUAGCAUUUAAUAAAAGGAUGGAGGUAACUGGAAGUGAAAGAAUUAUCACAAAAUUUCUUUGUACGUAACAAUCAUUCAAAAUUUCUUUGAUUAAGUUAAGCCAGAAAGAUCACUUUAUCUAUUUUGGAAGCCUACCAUUUCACAGUUGCAAAUGAAAUCAGUUUUCAUAGAAUAGUAAUCAAUAAUAGUCAGCUUAACGUUCUAAAUAAAAAAAAAUAUAAUCUAUACAUUUAAUAUAGUUUAUAGUAGAAGUGUAGUUUAAAAAAUGACAAACAGUCAUUUAAAGGCUUUCAGGCAUCUGCCUAUCACAAUGCCAUCAAAAAAAAUCAGUGGACAUUUUGCCACUCAUGUUGUCAAAUAUGUUUUUUUAAUUGAAACGACGCAUUUCCAACAAGCUCAUGGUAGCGGAUAUUGUUCUUCAAUUAAAGGUAACUCUUCUACUAUAUAAUUUCUGCAAAACUUCUGUAUUUUCUAAACUUGACUUGCAUUUUCCAUUUUAUAAUUGACACUUACUCCUUCGUUUGCGUUGCUUUUUUUUCUAUUAUUUGUAGUUAAAAUGUUGUAGUUUAUAUUUUAUUAAAAAAUGUUUAGAUCAGCAAAAAUACACUUGAGUACAUCACAAUGUGUUGGAUGACUGGCAGUUAUAAAAAUGCUUUUGAAGAAGAAUAAACAACAUUUAAAAUCCGCGCACAUUGGUCCUAUCCAUAAAAUGUAAAGAUUACCAUUCCAGUCGGCUAAUGUAACAAACUCUUGUCAAAUAUAUUGUUACUGGAAAAUCAAUGUUGAGCUACAAAAGGCGUGCAAGCACACAGUCGCUUAACUCGACAACCGCCUAAGAUAUCAAUACUAUUUUCAUGCUGAACGUUAAGCAAAAUAAAUCGAUUCGCACGUUUAUAUUCUCUGCCAUGGCUCGGCUGGAGUCUGAACCCAAUGCCUUCCCCACUAAAGGCAAACGCUCUACCACAAGGCCAAUUUUAGACCUGCAUGAGGUAUUGUGCAUAUGGAUCUUCUAUUUGAGUUACUGAAGUUGUACAAAUACAGCAACCGCAUAAUUAGUAAAUAUAUCAAUCCUAAUCCAAAUAUAUCAAUCCUAUGCCUAUCUCAACUCAACGUAACAAGAAACAAUCUACUCUUGAGUAGUAACUAGCUGUGGUGCAACCUGUCAAUGUAUUUUGCUUCUUUCUCAGAGUACGUGGUAUCAUUGCAAUUAUUGAACAAAAAUUGCACACGGCUGUUACGGUAAUUUGACUUCAUCUUGAUCUCAAAAUAAACGAAUGUGAUAGUCAAAGAGGUAUAAACAAUCCUAAACAUAUAAAAAGUGGAUCAAUAAAUAUAAAUGGCGAGUUUAUCAUUGAUUAUGUGAUUUAGUUAAUGUUGGCUAACGAAAAAUAUUAUCCUGCCGAAGAAAAACAUAAAACGACAACAAGAAACUAAUGGUUAUUUUCAACAAUUUGUGAAGAAGAUUACAAUUUCAAUGGUUUCCAGAAAAGACGAUGUGUUUUUGAGAAGAGAUUUUAUGUUUUUAAUUGUACAAAGUGCUAAUAUCUUUAAUUGUUUAAGUGCUAAUAUUUUCGCAUCUAAUCAUGUAAUUUCAGCUAUUAACUGCUUUCCAACGUUUUAUUUAUUUUGACAAAUAAAUUGUUUUGUUUUUUGAAAUGGCAAUCUGUCAAUGCAGAAAUACUGUGAAUACAAACAUUUGUUUACACACUUUUAAUUGCGUAUUGACUGAAUCAUUUUUAAAAGUGUAUUAUUUUUCUUCUUGUUUAUUGGUUGUUGCUAAUAUGCGAUAUCAUAAGCUAUUGGAAAUGCCUCUUACGCAAAUUGUUCUGCUGACAACAUGAGAAACACGAAGCGAUAUUUUCCUCUUUUGUUAACUUUUACGUGUAAGUCAUAGUAGAGAAUUGAUAGCAUGACGAAAAGAACUAGACUAUAUUUAGUAAAAUAUAUACAUAGUGCAUCGAGAGAGUUGGUUUGAAGUGUAGCUUAGGCUUUAAUGAAUUUGUCAUCCAUCAUUUCAUUACAUCUUUUCCUGGUUUUGAUUCAUACGUAAAAAUGAUGUAGAAAUGAAUAAUUUUCUUAUUCUUCUAAGAAUUCCCUAAAUUACU